This 622-nucleotide small RNA is filed under the name Pan troglodytes (chimpanzee). RNAcentral describes it as "processed transcript". Lineage: Eukaryota; Metazoa; Chordata; Mammalia; Primates; Hominidae. The record is from RNAcentral.
CCGCAUGCGCGCGCGGCUUUGGUAAAGAGGCUGGAGUUUCUGGCUCGGCGAGGGGCAGGGGUCUCGCUAUGUUGUCCAGACUGGUAUUGAACUCCUGGGCUCAGGCGAUCUUCCUGCCUCAGCCUCGCAAAGUGCUGGGAUUAUAGGGGUGAUCCCCCGCCCUCGGCCAAAUGGCACACACUUUGAUGGAAGAGUUUAAAGAACGCUGUGCUCAGUGUGCUGCUGUCUCAUGGGGUCUUACUGAUGAAGGCAAAUAUUAUUGCACUUCUUGCCACAAUGUUACAGAGAGAUAUCAGGAAGUUACAAACACUGAUCUUAUUCCUAAUACCCAAAUAAAAGCCCUCAACCGGGGGCUUAAAAAAAAAAACAAUACUGAAAAAGGCUGGGAUUGGUAUGUGUGUGAAGGUUUCCAGUACAUUCUUUAUCAACAAGCAGAAGCCUUAAAGAACCUUGGAGUAGGCCCAGAGUUAAAGGGAAUGUCUUGUGUGUUAUUCACAAUUUGAGAACAAAAUCGUUUGGUGUAUGUACAUAACGUCUAUCAGGACUUGAGUUCCACAGAAUGCACUUUGGACAGUGAUAUGCUAAACCAGUCGUUCACCUGAGUGUGCAUCAGAAUCACCUG